AGACGUAUCCUACGGCAGGCAGCAGUAGGGAAUUUUCGUCAAUGGGGGCAACCCUGAACGAGCAAUGCCGCGUGAGCGAAGAAGGUCUUCGGAUUGUAAAGCUCUGUUGCCGGGGAAAAAGGAAGGAAAGAGGAAAUGCUUUUCUUUGGAUGGUACCCGGCCAGAAAGUCACGGCUAACUACGUGCC
RNAcentral lists this ribosomal RNA (187 nucleotides) under uncultured bacterium. RNAcentral's name for it is "partial 16S ribosomal RNA". It matches the Rfam family "Bacterial small subunit ribosomal RNA", at positions 328 to 509 of the family's 1533-position model. The record is from RNAcentral.